UUUAGAUUUGAUUUUGGUUUGUUGUAGAGUUAAGAUAAUAUUAUCUAUUUUUGAUUUAUAUAAAUGGGCAAUGUGUGUUUACCCUGGUAGUUUGUUGUUAGUAGAAAUAUAGUUCCAGAAUAAUCGGCUAUGCUUUAUGAGUUUGGACUCUAAUUGUUUUGAUUUUUAUUGUGGAGAUUGGACUUUUCGCUUGCUGGUAAAAUUAGGGGUAGUGUUAAGUGAGAUUAAAAGUUGAAUGUUCUGUUUGAGCGACCCGGAUUAGUACCCGGUUAGAGGAAUUUAAUUAGUGCAGGAGUAAGGAGAAACUGAAAAAAUAUUGGCAGGCUUUUAAAUUAUCCUUGGAGGUUGAGUUGUAAUCGAGAACCCGCGUUUACAUCCUUUAAUUUUAGGUUUGUGUAUGAUCGUCUUUUAUAUACUUAAGGUUUUUAAGUUUAAAUUUUUUUUUUGUAAAGAUAGAUAGAUAUUCAAUUUAUAUUAAGGAUUUUCUUGACCUACAAUAUUGGAGAUUUUAUUGGAUAGCUGGACGAGAGUUUAGUUUGAAAUUGUAAAAGACAGUAUGAAGUAUUUAUUUGUGCUUUUGAAGAGUAUUUAGAGGCGGUACAAAUCAUCCAUCAAUUGCCUAAAGGGGAGUAAGUUGUAGUAAAGUAGGGUUAGGGAACCUGGUCUUAGUAGUAUGUUG
This 679-nucleotide non-coding RNA is filed under the name Gnathostoma doloresi. The record is from RNAcentral. Lineage: Eukaryota; Metazoa; Nematoda; Chromadorea; Rhabditida; Gnathostomatidae.